Molecule: transfer RNA, 88 nt
Filed under: Streptomyces paromomycinus
Lineage: Bacteria; Bacillati; Actinomycetota; Actinomycetes; Kitasatosporales; Streptomycetaceae
Also listed under: 1 other name
Description: tRNA-Ser
Rfam family: tRNA
About the family: Transfer RNA (tRNA) molecules are approximately 80 nucleotides in length. Their secondary structure includes four short double-helical elements and three loops (D, anti-codon, and T loops).
Source: RNAcentral
GGUAGCGUGUCCGAGCGGCCGAAGGAGCGCGCCUCGAAAGCGCGUGAGGGGGCAACCUCUCCGUGGGUUCAAAUCCCACCGCUACCGC